UGGCGAACGGGUGAGUAACACGUGGGUAACCUGCCCAUCAGAAGGGGAUAACACUUGGAAACAGGUGCUAAUACCGUAUAACACUAUUUUCCGCAUGGAAGAAAGUUGAAAGGCGCUUUUGCGUCACUGAUGGAUGGACCCGCGGUGCAUUAGCUAGUUGGUGAGGUAACGGCUCACCAAGGCAACGAUGCAUAGCCGACCUGAGAGGGUGAUCGGCCACACUGGGACUGAGACACGGCCCAGACUCCUACGGGAGGCAGCAGUAGGGAAUCUUCGGCAAUGGACGAAAGUCUGACCGAGCAAACGCCGCGUGAGUGAAGAAAGGUUUUUCGGAUUCGUAAAAACUU
RNAcentral lists this ribosomal RNA (347 nucleotides) under Enterococcus casseliflavus. Its description in RNAcentral is "bacterial SSU rRNA". It matches the Rfam family "Bacterial small subunit ribosomal RNA", at positions 96 to 433 of the family's 1533-position model. Lineage: Bacteria; Bacillati; Bacillota; Bacilli; Lactobacillales; Enterococcaceae. The record is from RNAcentral.